RNAcentral lists this ribosomal RNA (253 nucleotides) under uncultured bacterium. Its description in RNAcentral is "partial 16S ribosomal RNA". It matches the Rfam family "Bacterial small subunit ribosomal RNA", at positions 524 to 776 of the family's 1533-position model. The record is from RNAcentral.
UACGUAGGUGGCAAGCGUUAUCCGGAUUUAUUGGGUGUAAAGGGCGUGUAGGCGGGAAUGCAAGUCAGAUGUGAAAACUCAGGGCUCAACCCUGAGCCUGCAUUUGAAACUGUGUUUCUUGAGUGCUGGAGAGGCAAUCGGAAUUCCGUGUGUAGCGGUGAAAUGCGUAGAUAUAUGGAGGAACACCGGUGGCGAAAGCGGCUCUCUGGCCUGUAACUGACACUGAGGCUCGAAAGCGUGGGGAGCAAACAGG